Molecule: ribosomal RNA, 252 nt
Filed under: uncultured bacterium
Lineage: Bacteria
Description: partial 16S ribosomal RNA
Rfam family: Bacterial small subunit ribosomal RNA
Source: RNAcentral
UACGGAGGAUGCGAGCGUUAUCCGGAUUUAUUGGGUUUGAAGGGUGCGUAGGCGGUCCGUUAAGUCAGCGGUAAAAUUGCGGGGCUCAACCCCGUCGAGCCGUUGAAACUGGCAGACUUGAGUUGGCGAGAAGUACGCGGAAUGCGCGGUGUAGCGGUGAAAUGCAUAGAUAUCGCGCAGAACUCCGAUUGCGAAGGCAGCGUACCGGCGCCAGACUGACGCUGAGGCACGAAAGCGUGGGGAUCGAACAGG